UUGGAGGGCAAGUCUGGUGCCAGCAGCCGCGGUAAUUCCAGCUCCAAUAGCGUAUAUUAAAGUUGUUGCAGUUAAAAAGCUCGUAGUUGAAUUUCGGGGUUAGUAGAUUGGUCAUGCCUCUGGUAUGUACUGGUCCCACUGAUUCCUCCUUCCUGAUGAUCCGUAAUACCAUUAAUUUGGUGUUGCGGGGAAUUUGGACAGUUACUUUGAAAAAAUUAGAGUGUUUAAAGCAAGCUAACGCUUGAAUACAUUAGCAUGGAAUAAUGAAAUAGGACGUUCGAUCCUAUUUUGUUGGUCUCUAGGAUUGACGUAAUGAUUAAUAGGGAUAGUUGGGGGCAUUAGUAUUCAAUUGUCAGAGGUGAAAUUCUUGGAUUUAUUGAAGACUAACUACUGCGAAAGCAUUUGCCAAGGAUGUUUUCAUUAAUCAAGAACGAAAGUUAGGGGAUCGAAGACGAUCAGAUACCGUCGUAGUCUUAACCAUAAACUAUGCCGACUAGGGAUCGGAUGAUGUUAAUUUUUUAAUGACUCAUUCGGCGCCUUACGGGAAACCAAAGUGUUUGGGUUC
RNAcentral lists this ribosomal RNA (565 nucleotides) under uncultured Glomeromycotina. Its description in RNAcentral is "SSU rRNA". It matches the Rfam family "Eukaryotic small subunit ribosomal RNA", at positions 548 to 1114 of the family's 1831-position model. The record is from RNAcentral. Lineage: Eukaryota; Fungi; Glomeromycota.